Molecule: ribosomal RNA, 253 nt
Filed under: uncultured bacterium
Lineage: Bacteria
Description: partial 16S ribosomal RNA
Rfam family: Bacterial small subunit ribosomal RNA
Source: RNAcentral
UACGGAGGAUCCGAGCGUUAUCCGGAUUUAUUGGGUUUAAAGGGAGCGUAGGUGGAUUGUUAAGUCAGUUGUGAAAGUUUGCGGCUCAACCGUAAAAUUGCAGUUGAAACUGGCAGUCUUGAGUACAGUAGAGGUGGGCGGAAUUCGUGGUCUAGCGGUGAAAUGCUUAGAUAUCACGAAGAACUCCGAUUGCGAAGGCAGCUCACUGGACUGCAACUGACACUGAGGCUCGAAAGUGUGGGUAUCAAACAGG